RNAcentral lists this ribosomal RNA (253 nucleotides) under uncultured bacterium. Its description in RNAcentral is "partial 16S ribosomal RNA". It matches the Rfam family "Bacterial small subunit ribosomal RNA", at positions 524 to 776 of the family's 1533-position model. The record is from RNAcentral.
UACGGAGGGUGCAAGCGUUGUUCGGAAUCACUGGGCGUAAAGCGCGUGUAGGCGGCUAUCUAAGUCUGAUGUGAAAGCCCUGGGCUCAACUCAGGAAGUGCAUUGGAUACUGGAUAGCUGGAGUACCGGAGAGGAGGGUGGAAUUCCUGGUGUAGCGGUGAAAUGCGUAGAUAUCAGGAGGAACACCGGUGGCGAAGGCGUCCCUCUGGCCGGAUACUGACGCUGAGGCGCGAAAGCGUGGGGAGCAAACAGG